AUGCAGCUUGAAUUUCAACCUGGAGCUGAGACCUCCAGAUGGACUCCUAGAAGGGUGACGUGUAAAGCUGCAUCCCUCAGCAGCCCACGAUCUUGGCAGGUUUGCCACUGUGACCAAUGUUUUAUUGAAGCUUCUGAGGCCGUAGAGCACAGGGAAGUUCCGAGCACACAGAGGACAAGCCAGGGCGGUGCUGUGUGGCCCAAAACAACCUUAAGGAGACAUGAGUGGGGGACGGUUUCUGACACCUUGAUUCCUUAUGUCUGUGUUUCUGCAGUGUGGAGCAUUGUGAGUCUGUGUGGCAGCAACCACGAAGAAAGUGAUACAGACUUGGUGGCGGAGAGCACCGACUGCCGCCAGGAUGAGGAGGCUGCAGGUAGGGAAGAGCACACAGCUGGGAUCCAGGGGGAGAGGGUUCCUGGGAGCAGCUGGGUUCCACCUGCUGCCGGGAGAGGGAGGAAGGGGGGGAUAGGACUUGGCAGGUGGGUGGUGGGUGGCCUAAUGAGUGGAACCCUGAUGUGGUGUUUUCCCCUCCGAAAUUGAUAACACGAAGAAGACUUGUGUCCCUGGUCUUUGUCGUGCUGUGUUUGGAUUCCUGUCUCCUUCCUUUGAGAGGGAGAAUCGAUUUUCCCUCCCAAAGCUGCUCCUUCCAGCUCUUGUCUCUGGCCAUUGUGCCAGCUUGCUUUGUGGGUCGCACCCUGAGGGUCCUGUGCCCAAGAGCUGUUGACUUAGUUUCCUUUGUUGCCCUUGAGGGACCUGAUGUGGUGGGACGCAACCCUCUCCUAGGGCCUUGACCCUGGAGACCAAGUUCGUCUGGUGAGUGUGAGGUGGUGGGUGAGAAGGCGCUGUCUCCCUCUGGAUGUUCAGGAUUUCUGGCCUCCCUGUCC
RNAcentral lists this long non-coding RNA (884 nucleotides) under Sus scrofa (pig). RNAcentral's name for it is "lncRNA (ENSSSCG00070001257.1)". Lineage: Eukaryota; Metazoa; Chordata; Mammalia; Artiodactyla; Suidae. The record is from RNAcentral.